Molecule: long non-coding RNA, 1985 nt
Filed under: Capsicum annuum
Lineage: Eukaryota; Viridiplantae; Streptophyta; Magnoliopsida; Solanales; Solanaceae
Description: long non-coding RNA (CANN_LNC019433)
Source: RNAcentral
UAUAACUAGAGUGAAAUUUUUAUGAUUUUUCAUUAUAUAGUAUAAUUAUGUGAUUUAGGUAGAUUUUUUAAUUUAAUAAUUAUACGAUUAUCUUAUCCAUUUAAAAGUUUAUUCUAUGAUGCGGUUAAAAGUUAAAAAACUUAACGUACUAUUUGUAUCAUUAUUCUUUUUUGUCUUAACUGACUUUAAUUGAUUAUUUUCUUUUUACUAUGUUAUUUAAAUUUUAACAAACUAAAACAUUUGUUAAUAUUAUGAAAUAAAUGAAGGUAGUAAGGAUUUUUUGAUGUAUUUAUAUUUUACGGUGAGGGUGGGAGGUGAGGGAAGGAGUGGUGAAAGGAGAAAUGGGAGGACAUGAAACCGAAUACUUAUCAAUUAAUGAGACCUCACACAAGUAUGACAUUUCAUACAUAUUAAAAUUUUUCCAGAUCUACAAAGGAACGUAUUUUUAAAAAAUUUUUAGGGGUAAAAAUAAAAGGAAAUCCAGUGGUUUUUUCUGGUCAUAUUUCACCGAAGCAGCGCCGGAAUGCCAAAACCCGACGAGAUCUGGAGCGGAAAUGGGAGACAGCACCCAAUUUUACUGGUGAAGGGAUAACGCAAAAGGGGGAAAAAGGGCCGCCAGCGAGUCGAUGGGAAUGGCGGGGAAUUGGAUCGUUGUUCGGUCCGCACCGGAGAAGGGAACGGAGGGACGACUACCGACCAUGGUUGUUGCCAUGGCGGUUGGAGUGCCGGAUAAAGAAAACGGGUGAGAGAGGUGGUGGCUAGUUCGUGGCUGGAGUAGUUGUUGUUGUUCCGACGGAUGGUGAAGGAGGCAACGCUGGUGGGGUUGGUCGCGGCUCUCCGGUGGAUCUCGACUUGGAGGGUCUGAUUUGGGUGGUUAGGCUCGGCAUUUUCACCGGCAAAAGCGGCUGGCGGCUGAGGGUGAGGCGAACGGUGACGCUGGAGGAUUUCCGGCGAGUUGGUUCGCCGGAUUUAGGGAGUGUGGGGUGGAACCGGUAGUUUUUAUCGGUUGGGUGUCAUUUUCCGGCGAGAAAUCGCCGGGAAAAUCAGAACAGAGUCACUCAGUUCAUUGUUAUUUUCCCCUUAUUUUUCUUUCUGAUUUUCCUCCUCUUUGUCUCUCCGAGUUUUCACUGGUUUUUGUGUGUAUGUGUGUGAAUGUGAGUCUUUUUAUGUUUUUUUCAGAAAAAAUGGAGGUGGUAUCACUGUUAUAUGUGUUUUUUGUGAGAGGUAUGUGUGAAUAAUGGGGUCUACAGAUGUAGGGGUGUCAUUCUGUGAGCGUGUGUAGUAUGUGUUUUCUCCUGUUUUUCCUUUCUUUUCACUGAUGUUUUUUCCUCCUUUCCCACUGCCUGUGUGCAUAUUUUCUCUCUAUCUGUGUGUAUAGCGAGUAUUUUCCUCUUUUUUUUUGCUUAAUUUGAUAAUAUUAACACAAUAUUUUAACAUUCAAUACAUCUACAUACAAAUACAUUAAAUAUCGUGUAACUUGAUCAUAUAACAUGUAAUAAUAUAAAAUUUACAUAAUCAAUUAAUUAUAUAAAUUAAACAGUGCUUAAGAUCACUUGAACAUUCCAUUCAUACUUUUCGCAAGAAAUUUACAACAUUAAUAGAAGUAGAAUCAAAAUAAAAUCUAUAUGUCAACUUAAUUAAAUACGAAAGCAAGACGUUAUUAUCGAAAACUCAAACGAAAAUCAUGAAACUCAAAUCAUAAUUCUUUCUCUGUUUUGGUUUUCUUUCUUUUCCUGAUUUUUUUUAUUUUUGUUGUUCUUUGCUCUUUUCUCUGGUUUUCUCUCCUCUAUUUUUUUUCUCAAUUUCAGUGUGUAUCUGAUGUUGUCUGAUCUUUCUUUUUUGUUCUCUAUGUGUGAUAAUGGGGUGUGGGAGAACAGUUGAGUGAAGAUAGGAUAGUGGGGUAGGUUUGAUAAUUUUUUUAGGUUAAUUAUCUUUUUUUUUUUUUAAAUUUAAAGUAAAUAAUAAUACAACAAUAACAUACUCAG